Molecule: long non-coding RNA, 393 nt
Filed under: Medicago truncatula (barrel medic)
Lineage: Eukaryota; Viridiplantae; Streptophyta; Magnoliopsida; Fabales; Fabaceae
Description: lncRNA gene10949
Source: RNAcentral
GAGCAAAAUUAUAAGGGUACCAAUAUUAUGAUUCUCAAAUAUAAUUAUACGACUACAAGUUAUAUAUGAUUGUUUUUCAACUUAUUUGUUACACUUGCACGCACUCACAAUAACCAUGAAAACACCAUGAAAUUUUAGGAAGUUCACACAUAAGUUUCGAACAAUCAGCGCGAGCUUUGCAUGGAGCCAUUCUCAAAGCUCUAAUGGCUAAGAAAAAUAAAAUAAUUGUUAUUAAAAGGUGAUGGAAUAUCUUAUAUAAGAGAAAUUAGAUAUUUGAAAAUAGCGUGAAAAAUGACUUACUACUUUUAGUUGGGAUGAAAAAGACAAAAAGAAUGAUGAUAAAAACAUAAAACAUAUAUUGAAUUUGAGCCAUAUUUUUUCUCCUUUGCAUUU